UCGCUCCUACCGAUUGAAUGUUCCGGUGAACACUUUGGAAUCGUGAUCUUUUCGAGGCAACUCUUGAGAUCAAUGGUGAAGUUGUGUAAACCUUAACAUUUAGAGGAAGGAG
This 112-nucleotide ribosomal RNA is filed under the name uncultured eukaryote. Its description in RNAcentral is "partial small subunit ribosomal RNA". It matches the Rfam family "Eukaryotic small subunit ribosomal RNA", at positions 1676 to 1785 of the family's 1831-position model. The record is from RNAcentral.